CAGGGCAUCAGGCGUAACAGAGGUUCGAUUAUGGCUCAGAUUGAACGCUGGCGGGAUGCUUUACCUGCACAUGCAAGUCGAACGGCAGCACGGACUUCGGUCUGGUGGCGAGUGGCGAACGGGUGAGUAAUGUAUCGGAACGUGCCUAGUAGCGCGGGGGAUAACUACGCGAAAGCGUAGCUAAUACCGCAUACGCCCUUCGGGGGAAAGCGGGGCCUUCGGGCCUCUCGCACUAUUGGAAGCGGCCGAUAUCGGAUUAGCUAGUUGGUGGGAGGUAACGGCUCACCAAGGCGACGAUCCGUAGCUGGUUUGAGAGGACGACCAGCCACACUGGGACUGAGACACGGCUGAACUCCUGCAGGAGGCAGCAGUGGGGAAUUUUGGACAAUGGGGAAACCCUGAUCCAGCCAUCCGUGUGCGAUGAAGGCCUUCGGGUUGUAAAGCACUUUUGGCAGGAGAAAAACGGCACGGGAUAAUACCCAGUGCAACUGACGGUACCUGCAGAAUAAGCACCGGCUAACUACGUGCCAGCAGCCGCGAUAAUACGUAGGUGCAAGCGUUAAUCGAAUUACUGGGCGUAAAGCGUGCGCAGGCGGUUCGGAAAAGAAAGAUGUAAGGAAAUCCAGGCUUAACUUUGGAACUGCAUUUUUAACUACCAGCAAGUGUGUCAGAGUGGAAUUCCACGAUAAUAGCAGUGAAAUGCGUAGAUAUGCGGAGGAACACCGAUGGCGAAGGCAGCCUCCUGGGAUAAGCACUGACGCUCAUGCACGAAAAAGCGUGGGGAGCAAACAGGAUUAGAUACCCUGGUAGUCCACGCCCUAAACGAUAUCAACUAGCUGUUGGGGCCUUCCGGGCCUUGGUGGCUGUGCUUGCUUGUGAAGUUGACCGCCUACUUAGAGUACGGUCGCAAGAUUAAAACUCAAAGGAAUUGACGGGGACCCGCACAAGCAGUGGAUGAUGUGGAUUAAUUCGAUGCAACGCGAAAAACCCACCUACCCCAUGACAUGUCUGGAAUCCCGAAGAGAUUUGGGAGUGCUCGCAAGAGAACCGGAGCACAGGUGCUGCAUGGCUGUCGUCAGCUCGUGUCGUGAGAUGUUGGGUUAAGUCCCGCAACAGGCGCAACCCUUGUCAUUAGUUGCUACGAAAGGGCACUCUAAUGAGACUGCCGGUGACAAACCGGAGGAAGGUGGGGAUGACGUCAAGUCCUCGCCUGGCCUUAUGGGUAGGGCUUCACGUCGUACAAUGGUCGGGACAGAGGGUCGCCAACCCGCGAGGAAUAAUCCAGAAACCCGAUCGUAGUCGGAUCGCAGUCUGCAACUCGACUGCGUGAAGUCGGAAUCGCUAGUAAUCGCGGAUCAGCAUGUCGCGGUGAAUACGUUCGGGUCUUGUACACACACCGCCCGUCACACCAUGGGAGUGGGUUUUACCAGAAAUGUAGCCUAACCGUAAGGAGGGCGAUUACCACGGUAGGAUUCAUGACUGGGGUGAAGUCGUAACGAGUAG
This 1503-nucleotide ribosomal RNA is filed under the name uncultured Bordetella sp. RNAcentral's name for it is "partial 16S-23S ribosomal RNA intergenic spacer". It matches the Rfam family "Bacterial small subunit ribosomal RNA". The record is from RNAcentral. Lineage: Bacteria; Pseudomonadati; Pseudomonadota; Betaproteobacteria; Burkholderiales; Alcaligenaceae.